Grammomys surdaster is the source of this 683-nucleotide long non-coding RNA. RefSeq lists it as uncharacterized. Lineage: Eukaryota; Metazoa; Chordata; Mammalia; Rodentia; Muridae. The record is from RefSeq and is a predicted model, not a curated record. The transcript is spliced from 6 exons.
CUUUCCCUGGCUGGGCACUAUGCAGGCAAGGGGCCAGAUGUGGGGCUGCUAGAAGGAUGGGAGCUGGAGAAUGGAAGUCCCUCACAGGGCAGAACUCAAAGCCUAUAAAACAGGAGGGCAAAAGAAAGGAGGGGUGAAAAAAAAGGGAAAGAAAGCAAGCUGAUAAUUUCCUCGAAGGCUCCACUCACAGACUUGCCUGGUGGGACAGAGUGAGCAGGAGGUUCCUUUUGCCCUGGGCUGGCAUCAGAUGUGCUACUAGAACGGCGAAGGGUCACCUGGGGCCCCUGUGCCUGUGGCCAUCACGGGACAUGCCUCUAAGAAGAUGCCAAGAGGAGAUUCCAUCCCCAGACCAUCUGUAGUGGAUUACAUGACAUGAGCACACACCUGGAAGCUCCCAUGCCUGUAGGUUGGCUGCCAAACCUCAUCUAUCUGGAGAGGAAACUGAGCCCCCCCCCAAGACGAUUAUCGCCAGAUAGAAAGUGGAAGCAAGAUUUUCUAACCCUCGGAAAGAUUUCUUUGUUCUCUACUUGGAUGAAGACGGGAUACUGGCCUGGAGAAAAAGAGACCAGGAAGAUAAGAGCUACAUCCCCUGUUCCCCAGGAAGAUAAGAGCUGCAUCCCCAGUCCACUUGGUUUUAUUGUGUCCUUGCAAUCAGAACAACACAAUUAAGGACUUAAUAAUAA